Molecule: ribosomal RNA, 253 nt
Filed under: uncultured bacterium
Lineage: Bacteria
Description: partial 16S ribosomal RNA
Rfam family: Bacterial small subunit ribosomal RNA
Source: RNAcentral
UACGUAGGGUGCAAGCGUUAAUCGGAAUUACUGGGCGUAAAGCGUGCGCAGGCGGUUGGGCAAGACAGAUGUGAAAUCCCCGGGCUCAACCUGGGAAUGGCAUUUGUGACUGUCCGGCUAGAGUGUGUCAGAGGGGGGUAGAAUUCCACGUGUAGCAGUGAAAUGCGUAGAGAUGUGGAGGAAUACCGAUGGCGAAGGCAGCCCCCUGGGAUAAUACUGACGCUCAUGCACGAAAGCGUGGGGAGCAAACAGG